GAUGAACGCUGGCGGCGUGCUUAACACAUGCAAGUCGAACGAAGCAUUUAGAACAGAUUAUUUCGGUAUGAAGUUCUUUAUGACUGAGUGGCGGACGGGUGAGUAACGCGUGGGUAACCUGCCUUGUACUGGGGGAUAGCAGCUGGAAACGGCUGGUAAUACCGCAUAAGCGCACAAUGUUGCAUGACAUGGUGUGAAAAACUCCGGUGGUAUAAGAUGGACCCGCGUCUGAUUAGCUAGUUGGUGAGAUAACAGCCCACCAAGGCGACGAUCAGUAGCCGACCUGAGAGGGUGACCGGCCACAUUGGGACUGAGACACGGCCCAGACUCCUACGGGAGGCAGCAGUGGGGAAUAUUGCACAAUGGAGGAAACUCUGAUGCGGCGACGCCGCGUGAGUGAAGAAGUAAUUCGUUAUGUAAAGCUCUAUCAGCAGGGAAGAUAGUGACGGUACCUGACUAAGAAGCUCCGGCUAAAUACGUGCCAGCAGCCGCAGUAA
RNAcentral lists this ribosomal RNA (497 nucleotides) under uncultured bacterium. Its description in RNAcentral is "partial 16S ribosomal RNA". It matches the Rfam family "Bacterial small subunit ribosomal RNA", at positions 28 to 523 of the family's 1533-position model. The record is from RNAcentral.